GGGGGCAGCAUGCAAUGUGGGAGGGGCUUGGGGGCGGGCCCCGAGAUCCCAGGUUAAACCAGCAGGCCACCUCUAACCCGAUCCAAAGAGAAACUGGGCGGGAGAAUGAAUGGCAAGAUUGAUCUGGGGCACUAAUAGCAUUUAGGGCGUCUAGAGCAGGUAUAAUCCAUGUACCAUCUUGUCUGCUCUCUGAUUUUCCCCUCCCCUCCCUGGACGGUAUAUCCGUCUGUCCCACCUCACCUUCCACAAAGAAGCCCACAUAAGACAAAAAUCUUUUAUCCCUCUCAACAAUCUACACAUCAAGUUGGGGAUGAAAAUCUGGGAGCGGUUUAAUUAUUAAAAACCAGAAACCCUGUCCUACCUCUUGGUGAUAGAGAGGGUGGGGGAAAGUGUGCUUGGUUGCUAGGCAACCUGUGUACAGCUGGAUGCCUCUGGUGAUAGUUAAAGGGAGAUCUGGAACUAGAGGUCAAUGUGAUGAAGAAAGCUCCAACUUAGGUCACUAGAAUGAGGGGGAUAUCCUAGACACAACCAUCAGAAAACUGUGAAGUAGCCUAGGUCUCAUGAUUGUGAAGCUACCAUACCAACUUUGGACUAGGUUUUUUAUUUAAAAGAAAUAAAAACAUGGUAAGUUGCUGUUAUUGACUCUUUGUUAUCAUUAACUGAGCUGCGUUCCAACUUAUCAAAAGGGAUCUGGACUCAUAACAAAAGACUUAGGAGACAGCUUCAGUCAUCUGUAUCAUGAACUGAUGGAAGUCAAAUUAAGCUGCUGAUAAAAGGAGUUGAAGUGUUUAAGAAAUAUUUACACAGAAUGAGAGGACCUACAAAUUGGAAGAGUAAACUGCUGGAGAUGGGCCUUCAGGUGAUGACUGAUCAUACAAUGUUAGAAGAUACUGUCCAGUGAGUUUUGGGAUGAAAAAAACAUGUCCAGCUGGGCAUGGCAACUUGUUCCUAUAUUCCUAGCAUUCCAGAGGAUAGCAUGGUGUUGUGUAGCAAUUUCUUCCCAGACCCAAAACUACAUCUUGGAGGAAAGCUGCUUAAAGAAGAGAAUUGAAGUAUUCCAUUCUGCAGGGAAUCUCCUUCAAACUCAGGAAGUAAACAACUCAAAAAUUUUAAAACUUCCUGAAUCUGACCAGAUGCACUAGGCCCCUCCCUCUCCAAGCAUACAUAUACAGCAAGGACUGCUGAGAGACACUCUCAAAAAAGAUAAGCUGUCUGGAAGAGACACUCUCAAUCUGUUGAGAUGCCUGCAAAGUAUGCAGUUUGCCCUGGGUUCUACCUUUUGUGAGCUCUCAGACAUGCUGGGCUAGGCUUCUGGUGAUGUGCUGUCCCGGAGUCAUUUCUGGUCCUGUAAGUAACCCCUUAUGCACGUUCCUGUAAGUAAUUCCAAUAAAUCAUUAGUUCAACAAA
This is a long non-coding RNA of Peromyscus eremicus (cactus mouse), 1407 nucleotides long. RefSeq lists it as uncharacterized. The transcript is spliced from 3 exons. The record is from RefSeq and is a predicted model, not a curated record. NCBI's taxonomy places the organism in Eukaryota, Metazoa, Chordata, Mammalia, Rodentia, Cricetidae.